This 231-nucleotide ribosomal RNA is filed under the name Schlettererius cinctipes. RNAcentral's name for it is "partial 28S ribosomal RNA". Lineage: Eukaryota; Metazoa; Arthropoda; Insecta; Hymenoptera; Stephanidae. The record is from RNAcentral.
CCGUUCAGGGGUAAACCUGAGAAACCCGAAAGAUCGAAUGGGGAGAUUCAUCGUCAGCGAGGCUGGCCUCUCCGCGGUUCGUGAUGUUUUGCGCGGCUGGCUCGUCCGGUCGCGCGGCACUCGACCGAUGCGUUAGGUCCGGCUGCGUCGACGUGCACUUCUCCCCUAGUAGGACGUCGCGACCCGUCGGGGUGUCGGUCUACGGCCCGAGUUGGUGCCUGUCCUCGGGGC